UGGGGAAUUUUGGACAAUGGGCGAAAGCCUGAUCCAGCAAUGCCGCGUGUGUGAAGAAGGCCUUCGGGUUGUAAAGCACUUUUGUCCGGAAAGGAAAUCCUUGGCUCUAAUACAGUCGGGGGAUGACGGUACCGGAAGAAUAAGCACCGGCUAACUACGUGCCAGCAGCCGCGGUAAUACGUAGGGUGCAAGCGUUAAUCGGAAUUACUGGGCGUAAAGCGUGCGCAGGCGGUUUGCUAAGACCGAUGUGAAAUCCCCGGGCUCAACCUGGGAACUGCAUUGGUGACUGGCAGGCUAGAGUAUGGCAGAGGGGGGUAGAAUUCCACGUGUAGCAGUGAAAUGCGUAGAGAUGUGGAGGAAUACCGAUGGCGAAGGCAGCCCCCUGGGCCAAUACUGACGCUCAUGCACGAAAGCGUGGGGAGCAAACAGGAUUAGAUACCCUGGUAGUCCACGCCCUAAACGAUGUCAACUAGUUG
Molecule: ribosomal RNA, 476 nt
Filed under: uncultured bacterium
Lineage: Bacteria
Description: partial 16S ribosomal RNA
Rfam family: Bacterial small subunit ribosomal RNA
Source: RNAcentral